RNAcentral lists this long non-coding RNA (1137 nucleotides) under Anolis carolinensis (green anole). RNAcentral describes it as "lncRNA (ENSACAG00000045042.1)". Lineage: Eukaryota; Metazoa; Chordata; Lepidosauria; Squamata; Anolidae. The record is from RNAcentral.
AUGGAACUGUCUACACAGGGUUUCAUACUUCGCACUUCAACAACACAACCGUUCAAUGCUAAGGCUUCUCACCAAAUGGAACCACCUGCACAGGGUUCCAUACUUCGCACUUUAACAACACAAACAUUCAAUGCUAAGGCUUCCCACCAAAUGGAACUGUCUGCGCAGGGUUCCAUACUUCGCACUUUAACAACACAACCUUGCAAUACUAAGGCUUCCCACCAAAUGGAACUGUCUGCGCAGGGUUCCAUACUUUGCACUUUAACAACACAACUAUGCAAUACUAAGGCUUCCCACCAAAUGGAACUGUCUGUGCAGGGUUCCAUACGUUGCACUUUAACAACACAACCGUUCAUUUCUAAGGCUUCCCACCAAAUGGAACCGUCUGCUCAGGGUUCCAUACUUCGCACUUUAACAACACAACCAUUCAAUGCUAAGGCUUCCCGCCAAAUGGAACUGUCUGCACAGGGUUCCAUACUUCGCAUUUUAACAACACAACCGUUCAAUGCUAAGGCUUCCCACCAAAUGGAACCGUCUGCGCAGGGUUCCAUACUUCGCAUUUUAACAACACAACCGUUCAAUGCUAAGGCUUCCCACCAAAUGGAACUGUCUGCACAGGGUUCCAUACUUUGCAUUUUAACAACACAACCGUUCAAUGCUAAGGCUUCCCACCAAAUGGAACUGUCUGCGCAGGGUUCCAUACUUUGCACUUUAACAACACAACUAUGCAAUACUAAGGCUUCCCACCAAAUGGAACUGUCUGUGCAGGGUUCCAUACGUUGCACUUUAACAACACAACCGUUCAUUUCUAAGGCUUCCCACCAAAUGGAACCGUCUGCUCAGGGUUCCAUACUUCGCACUUUAACAACACAACCAUUCAAUGCUAAGGCUUCCCGCCAAAUGGAACUGUCUGCACAGGGUUCCAUACUUCGCAUUUUAACAACACAACCGUUCAAUGCUAAGGCUUCCCACCAAAUGGAACCGUCUGCGCAGGGUUCCAUACUUAGCACUUUAACAACACAACCGUUCAAUGCUAAGGAUUCCUGCCAAAUGGAACCUUCUGCACAGGGUUCCAUACUACGCACUUUAACAACACAAUCGUUCAAUGCUAAAGCUUCCCGCCAAAUGGAACUAUAG